GGGCACAUGGUGUAGUUGGUUAUCACGCCCGCUUAGCAUCGGUUUACGGUCUGCGGGCGGUCCCCGGUUCAAUUCCGGGUGUGUCCA
RNAcentral lists this transfer RNA (87 nucleotides) under Collybia nuda. RNAcentral describes it as "Lepista nuda tRNA-Ala". It matches the Rfam family "tRNA". From Rfam's summary of the family: Transfer RNA (tRNA) molecules are approximately 80 nucleotides in length. Their secondary structure includes four short double-helical elements and three loops (D, anti-codon, and T loops). The record is from RNAcentral. Lineage: Eukaryota; Fungi; Basidiomycota; Agaricomycetes; Agaricales; Clitocybaceae.